This 209-nucleotide ribosomal RNA is filed under the name uncultured bacterium. Its description in RNAcentral is "partial 16S ribosomal RNA". It matches the Rfam family "Bacterial small subunit ribosomal RNA", at positions 1294 to 1500 of the family's 1533-position model. The record is from RNAcentral.
CGGAUUGUAGGCUGAAACUCGCCUACAUGAAGCUGGAGUUACUAGUAAUCGCAGAUCAGAAUGCUGCGGUGAAUGCGUUCCCGGGUCUUGUACACACCGCCCGUCACACCACGGAAGUUGGGGGCGCCCGAAGCCACUUAGCUAACCCAUUUGGGAAGCGAGUGUCGAAGGUGAAAUCAAUAACUGGGGUGAAGUCGUAACAAGGUACC